GAUUAACGCUGGCGGCGUGCAUAACACAUGCAAGUCGAACGAUGAAACUUAAAUGAUUUCUUCGGAAUGAACUUAAGUGGAUUAUUGGCGGACGGGUGAUUAACGCGUGAGUAACCUGCCUUACACAAGGGGAUAGCCGUUGGAAACGACGAAUAAUACCCUAUGAUGUUUCUCUCUCGCAUGAGAUAUUAUCCAAAGUGUUAGCGGUUUAAGAUGGACUUCCGUCUGAUUAGCUAGUUGGUAAGAAAAAAGCCCACCAAGGGAACGAUCAGAAGCCGGAUUGAGAGAGUGUACGGGAACAUUGGGACAGACACCAGGCCCAGACUCCGACGGGAGGCAGCAGUGGUGAAUUAUGCACAAUGGGGGAAAGACUGAUGCAGCGACGCCGCGUGAUUUAGAAGGCAUGCGGGUUGUAAAAAUCUUUUGUAUAGGAAGAAAAUGACAGUACUAUACGAAUAAGGUACGGCUAAUUACGUG
Molecule: ribosomal RNA, 477 nt
Filed under: uncultured bacterium
Lineage: Bacteria
Description: partial 16S ribosomal RNA
Rfam family: Bacterial small subunit ribosomal RNA
Source: RNAcentral